RNAcentral lists this ribosomal RNA (507 nucleotides) under uncultured bacterium. RNAcentral describes it as "bacterial SSU rRNA". It matches the Rfam family "Bacterial small subunit ribosomal RNA", at positions 18 to 518 of the family's 1533-position model. The record is from RNAcentral.
ACUGGCUCAGGAUGAACGCUAGCGGCAGGCUAACACAUGCAAGUCGAGGGGCAUCGGGAGUAGCAAUACUGCCGGCGACCGGCGCAAGGGUGCGUAACGCGUGAGCAACAUGCCCGUAUCAGGGGGGAUAAUCCAUGGAAAACGUGGUCUAAUACCCCAUAGUAAUUAUGUAAGGCAUCUUAUAUAAUUUAAAGCUUUGGUGGAUACGGAUUGGCUCGCGUGACAUUAGCUGGAUGGUAAGGUAACGGCUUACCAUGGCUACGAUGUCUAGGGGUUCUGAGAGGAAGGUCCCCCACACUGGAACUGAGACACGGUCCAGACUCCUACGGGAGGCAGCAGUGAGGAAUAUUGGACAAUGGAUGGAAAUCUGAUCCAGCCAUGCCGCGUGACAGGAAGACGGCCCUAUGGGUUGUAAACUGUCUUUUGUAUGGGAGCAAUAAGGGCUACGUGUAGUCCGAUGAGAGUACCAUACGAAUAAGCACCGGCUAACUCCGUGCCAGCCGCAGC